Molecule: ribosomal RNA, 301 nt
Filed under: uncultured bacterium
Lineage: Bacteria
Description: partial 16S ribosomal RNA
Rfam family: Bacterial small subunit ribosomal RNA
Source: RNAcentral
CAGCAGCCGCGGGAAAACGUAGGGUGCGAGCGUUAAUCGGAAUUACUGGGCGUAAAGUGUGCGCAGGCGGUUUGUUAAGACAGACGUGAAAUCCCCGGGCUCAACCUGGGAACUGCAUUUGUGACUGGCGAGCUAGAGUAUGGCAGAGGGGGGUCGAAUUCCACGUGUAGCAGUGAAAUGCGUAGAGAUGUGGAGGAAUACCGAUGGCGAAGGCAGCCCCCUGGGCCAAUACUGACGCUCAUGCACGAAAGCGUGGGGAGCAAACAGGAUUAGAUACCCGCGUAGUCCCUGUCUCUUAUAA